RNAcentral lists this long non-coding RNA (3037 nucleotides) under Elaeis guineensis (African oil palm). RNAcentral describes it as "long non-coding RNA (EGUI_LNC074997)". The record is from RNAcentral. Lineage: Eukaryota; Viridiplantae; Streptophyta; Magnoliopsida; Arecales; Arecaceae.
GGUUAUAACAUAAAUCCUAAAGAUCCUUUAAAAUAUUCAUUUCUCAAUAUAUCCUAAUUUUACUACAUGUCCAUCUUAGCUCUUCUAUUUCUACCACACUCAAAAUCUGUUCUCGUGUUCUCUCUUUAUUGCACAGCAUCAUGAGCUAUAUAACAUUACUGGUUUUAUUAUUAUUUUGUAGAAUUUAUUUAUGAAAUUUUCAAGAUAUGUAUUGCUUAUAAAAAUCUAAAUAUACCUCCCCACUUUAUCCAACCAAGUCUAGUUCUAUCUUCGUUUAUUCCUUAUCAUUUUUCUGAAUAAAUUCUAAGUGAAAAAAUAAUAACUUUGUCCAUGAACCUUAACUGAAAUACUAUAUUUUACUUUUAUUCUCAUCAAAUUUACAUUUUGUAAACUUUGUCAUUGUUCUACUAAUUUUUAACUCCUAUAUAUUAAUGCUAUAUUCCACAAGUUCAAUUUAGUAUUUAAUCUAAUUCUUUUUUCAUCAAUUACUACGAUCAUCUUUAUAUAAUAUAUACAUGGUACAUGUUUUUGAAUAUUAGAAAUAAUUUUAUCAAUAACUUGAGCAAAAGGAUAUGAAUUUGGUAGUAACCAUUGAUGCAAGCUUAUUAUGACUAGAAAUACGCUUGUUGUACCACCAUUAGCUCCUGACAUGUCAACGCUCCAACAUAAACUCAGCUAUUUCAAUAUAUCAUUCAAAUACACACUUCCUUCUUAAAGCCCACUAAAUUACUUUCCUUGUUACAUAUCAAAAUUUUUCUUUUAUGAAAUACAUAAUAAGAUUUCUUUAAAUAGUAACGAUCAUAAGUUGGUAUAGGCAAAUCUAUUAGCCAUUGCCGCUUCCUCGACAUAAAUACAAGGGAUUUAAAACCCCGAUUGAGCCUGGUAUCAUGACCUCUGGUACCAAAAAGGCUCUCCAACACAUUCAAAACCACUCAAGAUGGAGGUCAAAAAGGAGAGCUAGGAUCAAAGAAUUAAAGGCAUAAUAGUGCCGGCCAAAUUCAUGAUCUUAUGGUCAAGAAUAUGACAUCAGAAUCAUUUGAUAAUGCAAUAUCCACCAUCAAAUGCAUCCAAUACCCUUUCCCGGUGAAAGGGUUCAAGAGAGGAAUUCAGAAUGGUAUAAGAGCAAUAGAGUUGGCAAAUCCAUUGCCCGAGAAGAUAGAAAGAGGUCUUUAUUUGAAAAAGAUACCAUCAGAAUGAACUAAGAACUGCCUCACCGUCCAGACGAACAUAGUCUGAAUCUAACAUAGACUAGGUUUGGAUAAAGCAAUAGUCUAUUUCUCAUAAUCAAAGGGGAUUUAGCAUCUAAUGGCCUUUAAGGCAUAAUUUCUUAGUUUAAUCAUCUUAUCGACUUGUUUAAUUUGAGUUUUAGCCGAGUUUUAACGGACCCCACAGACUCUACGAUAUAUGAAGGGGGCCUUAGAAUACUAUAAAUAGGACCCCUUUCUACACGUUUUUAUAAUUGAAGUUUAUUAAACUUAUUUUUUUAAAAAUUUUCUGGCAAUGCUCUUUUGUUUUGAGAUACUACUCAAGACCCAUAGUGAGAUACUACGAUUUAGGAAGGAGAUACAAGUCAGAUGUUGGAAUUCUUUAACUAAGGCCAUGUACAGACCGGAGGUGGGGCCUCAAGGGUUUGGCAAGAAGAAGAGACUUGAUUCCUUUUAGUUAUCCCUUCUAAUUCUAAAUCUUGAUAAUUCUAGCCUCCAAAUUUAAUUUUAAUUUAUUUUCUUCUAUUUUAGCAUCUAAUUUGAUUCGUUUCCACUUCUAGUUCUCUUUCACCAUGCUACUCUAGUUUAAUAUAAGACUGGAGGCUCCCUUACUAUGAGGAUAUAUAGACAUUUCCCUUUCUCUAUAUUUAUAUCAAUUACUUUAAUAAAACUUCUAGACUUUCUUGUAUAUCAUUAGAGUUUUCUAAAGAACUUUUUGUAAAGUAACAUGUAUAUCUAAUAAUUAUUUUCUAAUAAUACCUAUGCCAUGCAGAUGCUUGGUUAUCCAAGGGACCUAAAUCCAAGGCCUUAAUCCUCCAACUAUGAUGAAAUAUGCAUCCAAAUCAUGGUCUCAUUUUAUAGACUGCCUUGGUUUUUUCUUUGAGUAUGUUCCUUUAUCCAACUAGAUGCAAAUUUCAGCAGCAUAGAGCUGUGCAGGAUUGGAAUUAUUCGAGUAAAAGGUUAAAUGACAAGAGUGCAUAUGUUUCUAUUAAAAAAGUUGCAUGUGUGCACUUGAGAGAGAGAGAGAGAGACCAACCCUUGAGCAAUUAAACCAAAGGCCGUUGAACAAAAAGGCUGCAUUUGGUUAGGGCAUAAGGCUUGAAAAAGACUUACACCUGCCAAAUGACGUUAAAAACUAAAGCAUAAGUUAUGCCAAUCAAAGCUCCUAAUGAUAGAUACUACCUUUCUAAAAGAGCCAUGUCAUAUUUUAUUUCCAUCAUAUAUCCUUCAAUUUAUUUCAGCCCUAUUGUUUUGCAAUGGAUAAAACUACCCUAAGUAGCUAUUGUAGUUGUGGCAUCAUCUUCUUGUUUUGUUCUGCAUUGUAGCAUGGAUGCUUGCACUUAUAAUAGGACUAUUUUAGUUAUUUAGGAAUGUAGAAGAAAAUUGCUAUUUAUAAUUGAACUAUGAACAAUGGGUACACUUGCUUAUGACAACCACAUUUGAUAGAGUGUCCUCUCCCCAACCCCAUGUGUCCCUGUUUUAUCUUAAAUUUGAAAAAAGGAAAGUGAUAAAAAGUGAGUAUAUCGUUUACCCAUCUUAUUAGAGGAAUUUACCCAUCUUAUUAGAGGAACAUCUCAGUAGGGGGAUUAUAUUUGGUAAUUUUCAUUUUUAGAAAUCAUUUUUAGUAGAAUUAUGAGUAUGGUUUCCUGAUAAUUUUUCUGAACAAAACACCUAAAGAUAUAUAGAUGAGUGAUAGAUGAUAAGGGUAGAACAUCACUCAUUCAUUUUAUGCUUAAAAGCAACCUCAUUCCUGCUAUCGUAACAAACAAUACAAUUAGUUAUAACAAAAGGGGAAAAAAAAUCUAGCAAAACAAAAACAGGCAUAACUUAUG